RNAcentral lists this ribosomal RNA (407 nucleotides) under uncultured Sphingobacteriia bacterium. RNAcentral's name for it is "bacterial SSU rRNA". It matches the Rfam family "Bacterial small subunit ribosomal RNA", at positions 97 to 503 of the family's 1533-position model. The record is from RNAcentral. Lineage: Bacteria; Pseudomonadati; Bacteroidota; Sphingobacteriia.
GGCGCACGGGUGCNUAACGCGUAUGCAACCUACCCUUUACUGCGGGAUAGCCCGGGGAAACCCGGAUCAAUACCGCAUGGUACCAAUUGAGGGCAUCUAAAGAUGGUUAAAGAUUUAUCGGUAAAGGAUGGGCAUGCGUGACAUUAGCUAGUUGGUGAGGUAAUGGCUCACCAAGGCAACGAUGUCUAGGGGUUCUGAGAGGAUGAUCCCCCACACUGGCACUGAGAUACGGGCCAGACUCCUACGGGAGGCAGCAGUAGGGAAUAUUGGUCAAUGGGCGCAAGCCUGAACCAGCCAUGCCGCGUGCAGGAAGACAGCCUUCUGGGUUGUAAACUGCUUUUAUCAGGGAACAAAAAGCUCCUGCGGGAGAAAUUGCGUGUACCUGAAGAAUAAGGACCGGCUAACUC